ACGGGUGAGUAAUACACCGGAACGUAUCCUGGAGUGGGGGAUAGCCCGGCGAAAGCCGGAUUAAUACCGCAUACGCUCUGAGGAGGAAAGCGGGGGACCUUCGGGCCUCGCGCUCAAGGGGCGGCCGAUGGCGGAUUAGGUAGUUGGUGGGGUAAAGGCCUACCAAGCUGACGAUCCGUAGCUGGUCUGAGAGGACGACCAGCCACACUGGGACUGAGACACGGCCCAGACUCCUACGGGAGGCAGCAGUGGGGAAUUUUGGACAAUGGGGGCAACCCUGAUCCAGCAAUGCCGCGUGUGUGAAGAAGGCCUUCGGGUUGUAAAGCACUUUUGUCCGGAAAGAAAUCAUCGGGGCCAAUACCCCUGGUGGAUGACGGUACCGGAAGAAUAAGCACCGGCUAACUACGUGCCAGCAGCCGCGGUAAUACGUAGGGUGCGAGCGUUAAUCGGAAUUACUGGGCGUAAAGCGUGCGCAGGCGGUGCUGUAAGACCGAUGUGAAAUCCCCGGGCUUAACCUGGGAACUGCAUUGGUGACUGCAGCGCUGGAGUAUGGCAGAGGGGGGUGGAAUUCCACGU
RNAcentral lists this ribosomal RNA (576 nucleotides) under uncultured bacterium. Its description in RNAcentral is "bacterial SSU rRNA". It matches the Rfam family "Bacterial small subunit ribosomal RNA", at positions 102 to 674 of the family's 1533-position model. The record is from RNAcentral.